ACUUGCAGUUUCUUUGUCAUUUAUUGUUCUAAAAUACAUAUGUAAAUUUAAAUACAAUCUCCUAAGUAAUAUUUACUUAGUGUUUGCCAUCUAAUCAAAUCACACCAAAAAUGAACAACUCAAGUAAAACGUACUCAGUUCAGCAAGAUAAUUGAUGCGCAUGCGUCUUUGGCUCCGAGUUUGAAGUGGCGCGCACAGAGAAAAGGAAGAGAGACUUCACGACGGCUAAUGUGAAUUUUACCACGAUAUUGCACUCACUAUUCAAGCUAUAAUUCAAGGAUGUCAGCAGAGAUUUGAUUAACCUUCUCCAGUCAUGUCAUGAAAAUCAUCGUACUGAGCAGAUCUGUAGAAGAGGAAGAUGCCAGUAUAUCUGAUGUCAUCAUUGUCAUCGAG
This is a non-coding RNA of Paramormyrops kingsleyae, 393 nucleotides long. NCBI's taxonomy places the organism in Eukaryota, Metazoa, Chordata, Actinopteri, Osteoglossiformes, Mormyridae. The record is from RefSeq and is a predicted model, not a curated record.